This 455-nucleotide ribosomal RNA is filed under the name uncultured bacterium. Its description in RNAcentral is "bacterial SSU rRNA". It matches the Rfam family "Bacterial small subunit ribosomal RNA", at positions 340 to 786 of the family's 1533-position model. The record is from RNAcentral.
UACGGAAGGCAGCAGUGGGGAAUAUUGCACAAUGGGCGAAAGCCUGAUGCAGCUAUGCCGCGUGUAUGAAGAAGGCCUUAGGGUUGUAAAGUACUUUCAUCGGGGAGGAAAAAACAAAACUAAUAAUUUUAUUUCUUGACGUUACCCGAAAAAGAAGCACCGGCUAACUCCGUGCCAGCAGCCGCGGUAAUACGGAGGGUGCUAGCGUUAAUCAGAAUUACUGGGCGUAAAGAGCACGUAGGUGGUUUUUUUAAGUCAGAUGUGAAAUCCCUGGGCUUAACCUAGGAACUGCAUUUUGAAACUGAAAUACUAGAGUAUCGUAGAGGGAGGUAGAAUUCUAGGUGUAGCGGUGAAAUGCGUAGAUAUCUGGAGGAAUACCUGUGGCGAAAGCGGCCUCCUAAACGAAUACUGACACUGAGGUGCGAAAGCGUGGGGAGCAAACAGGAUUAGAUACC